CGGCAGGUCCUGCGCGAUGGAGGCCUGUGAACCGUGUCAGGUCCGGAAGGAAGCAGCACUAAGCGGAUCCCUUCAUGCGCCGCGGGGGUGCCUGCCCUGC
RNAcentral lists this signal recognition particle RNA (100 nucleotides) under Alkalibacterium sp. RNAcentral describes it as "signal recognition particle sRNA small type". It matches the Rfam family "Bacterial small signal recognition particle RNA". From Rfam's summary of the family: The signal recognition particle (SRP) is a universally conserved ribonucleoprotein involved in the co-translational targeting of proteins to membranes. Archaeal SRP consists of a 7S RNA and homologues of the eukaryotic SRP19 and SRP54 proteins. In most bacteria, the SRP consists of a 4.5S RNA and the Ffh protein (a homologue of the eukaryotic SRP54 protein). Lineage: Bacteria; Bacillati; Bacillota; Bacilli; Lactobacillales; Carnobacteriaceae. RNAcentral also lists the same sequence under 2 other names. The record is from RNAcentral.